AGAUUCCUCCAUGAUCAUCAUUAUUUGUGUGUGUGUGAUUCUGCUGCUGAUUGGUGGAUUCACUCUGAUUGUGUGUAAAUUAAGACACAAGAGACGAGGAAGAACCUCGACAUCAGACAAGAGAAAGAAAAAUAAAAUGUCAUCAUAUGCAGACAGCAGACGUGAUUCUCUCACAGAUCCUGGAUCAGCUCAAAUGAACAGUCAUGAUGAAUUACCCACAAUCCCCUCUGAUGAGCUCAUUUACGCGUCUGUCAGUUUCCAGAAGCAUGAAGAGUCUCUCAGUGACGCUACAGUCUCCUUCAGUAAGGACCAGAUUCACUCUGAUUACGCCACAGUCAUUUACCGCAUGAGACUCAACUAACUCACUUAUAACAGAUCACAGAUCAGCACACUUUACUAACAGUAUUGCUUACGUUUACAGUUCAUUGAUAAAAAUAUCUUUAUAAUCCAUAGUUUAGUGUUAAACAGAUGUUUUAUUGAUCAGGGUCGUUCAGUCUGUUGAAUCAUGAAACACUUUAUAGUUUCUGCUGCUGAUCAUGUUUCUUCUUUCACAUGUUUAAAAUAGCAGAUGUGUCAGAGGUUUACUGGUGUGUGUACAGAGUUUGUCAUCUCAGUUUAUCUGAGGGUGUGAUAAAAACAGGAAAUAAAACCACUGAGUGACACUUAUAGAAUAAACUGUAAAGUUUCCACUCCAAAUGCAGAGACACUAUAGUUAAUAAAGUCUCUUUAACAGCAGCUGUUUAAAUGAUUUCUCUUUCUCGUCUCUCUGAAUAUUGAUUCUCUUUGACCUGCUUUUGUUUUGUACAUGCAAGAGACUUUUGCUGAUGUUGUUUUUAGUUCAUUCUUGCUCUGUUGGAACUGAGGUUAUGCAGAGUUUUACUGCAUAAUCAUAUCUUUUAUUCAUUGAAAAAUAAAC
Ctenopharyngodon idella (grass carp) is the source of this 916-nucleotide long non-coding RNA. RefSeq lists it as uncharacterized. The transcript has 3 exons. NCBI's taxonomy places the organism in Eukaryota, Metazoa, Chordata, Actinopteri, Cypriniformes, Xenocyprididae. The record is from RefSeq and is a predicted model, not a curated record.